RNAcentral lists this ribosomal RNA (455 nucleotides) under Abiotrophia defectiva. Its description in RNAcentral is "bacterial SSU rRNA". It matches the Rfam family "Bacterial small subunit ribosomal RNA", at positions 28 to 465 of the family's 1533-position model. Lineage: Bacteria; Bacillati; Bacillota; Bacilli; Lactobacillales; Aerococcaceae. The record is from RNAcentral.
GACGAACGCUGGCGGCGUGCCUAAUACAUGCAAGUCGAACGAACCGCGACUAGGUGCUUGCACUUGGUCAAGGUGAGUGGCGAACGGGUGAGUAACACGUGGGUAACCUACCUCAUAGUGGGGGAUAACAGUCGGAAACGACUGCUAAUACCGCAUAGGACAUAGGAUCACAUGAUCCAGUGAGGAAAGGUGGCGCAAGCUAUCGCUAAGAGAUGGACCCGCGGUGCAUUAGCUAGUUGGUAGGGUAAAGGCCUACCAAGGCGAUGAUGCAUAGCCGACCUGAGAGGGUGAUCGGCCACAUUGGGACUGAGACACGGCCCAAACUCCUACGGGAGGCAGCAGUAGGGAAUCUUCCGCAAUGGACGCAAGUCUGACGGAGCAACGCCGCGUGAGUGAAGAAGGUCUUCGGAUCGUAAAGCUCUGUUGUUAGAGAAGAACAGCGCAUAGAGUAACUG